GACGAACGCUGGCGGCGUGCUUAACACAUGCAAGUCGAACGGAAAGGCCCUGCUUGCAGGGUACUCGAGUGGCGAACGGGUGAGUAACACGUGGGUGAUCUGCCCUGCACUUCGGGAUAAGCCUGGGAAACUGGGUCUAAUACCGGAUAGGGGCCAUUUUUAGUGUGAUGGUUGGAAAGUUUUUUCGGUGUAGGAUGAGCUCGCGGCCUAUCAGCUUGUUGGUGGGGUAAUGGCCUACCAAGGCGGCGACGGGUAGCCGGCCUGAGAGGGUGGACGGCCACAUUGAGACUGAGAUACGGCCCAGACUCCUACGGGAGGCAGCAGUGGGGAAUAUUGCACAAUGGGCGCAAGCCUGAUGCAGCGACGCCGCGUGGGGGAUGACGGCCUUCGGGUUGUAAACUCCUUUCGCUAGGGACGAAGCUUUUUGUGACGGUACCUAGAUAAGAAGCACCGGCUAACUACGUG
Molecule: ribosomal RNA, 465 nt
Filed under: uncultured bacterium
Lineage: Bacteria
Description: partial 16S ribosomal RNA
Rfam family: Bacterial small subunit ribosomal RNA
Source: RNAcentral